GUGUAUUUGAUAAUGGUUUCUGGUUCUCUCUGGUAAAUUGCAGAUACCCAGAGGGUAAUGGUCUCUGAGAGGGACUUCUUCAGCCUUUAAGGACCUUUACACCACUCAACUAUUGAUUGCAACAAUGAACAUCACCGUCGAU
This is a long non-coding RNA of Telopea speciosissima, 142 nucleotides long. RefSeq lists it as uncharacterized. The record is from RefSeq and is a predicted model, not a curated record. The transcript is spliced from 4 exons. Lineage: Eukaryota; Viridiplantae; Streptophyta; Magnoliopsida; Proteales; Proteaceae.